Molecule: ribosomal RNA, 57 nt
Filed under: Deconica coprophila
Lineage: Eukaryota; Fungi; Basidiomycota; Agaricomycetes; Agaricales; Kuehneromycetaceae
Description: partial 28S ribosomal RNA
Source: RNAcentral
UUUGACCUCAAAUCAGGUAGGACUACCCGCUGAACUUAAGCAUAUCAUAAAAGCCGG